AUGAGAAAAAAAGUUUGGGGGAAAGUUGAGCUGAGCAGGGAUGACGAAAAGGGCUCUGCUGAGAAGGAGAGACGCAGUGACUUUUACCAUUCUCAUCCUCCGGAAUGCAUCCGCUCCUCUAACUUCUCUGUGCGCAAAAUCAACACCGCAGCCAGAUGCGCACUGAUUUUGCUUCCAAACGUUUAUUCAGCUGUACCUGCAAGAAGUAAGAGUGAAGCAGUCGGGUUCUCCUCUGGAGACAAGGUAAAGAAACGUUUGCACUUUACAAAGUAACUGAUUUUGUUGACUUUAUCUUUGCUAUAAUAAUCUCAUACUUUUUUUUCAGCUUUGACUCCAGGCUGCAGAGAUCCGACUGGACUGGGAAACUAAUUAAGUGUUUUCUACACCGAGCGCUGGAUUUGCGCGUUUUGAGAGUUGAUAUGUCGGACAGUAAGCGUGGAGGACGGCUGCUGCAGUUGGCCGUGGCUCUAUUGGCCUUGCUGCAGCUCUUUGCAGGACUUGGCGAUGCUGCAGAGGUGCUGGAGGUCCAGGACAGCGAGCUGGUGACCAGGCAGACCGAUAGAGCCAACAGGGCAAAGAGGAGGGGAGGAACGGACGUACUCAGAGGGUAAAGCUGCAUUAACUAUCCAUUUCCGUUCUCUCUCUCUUUUGCAUUCUUUUAUAUUUUUAAGAAAUAUUUUCAUGUACGGGUUUUAUGAACUUCAAGCAGGUGUUUGCUUCUCACUAGUUGGUUAUUUAGGAGCUCUGAAGGUAAAAUGAAUAAAUAAAAAAAAAAUCAUGUGUGUUAAUAAGGCGUACUGAGACCAGUUAGUGACAUAGUGUGUGAUGGAAGUUUGGAGCAAAGUUUAGUAAUUAAAUACUGGCAAGAAAACCGCAUUCCUGCUGACUGCAAUAAUAAACUACAUCCAAACAAAGAAGGCCAUUGGUCUUGCGUGGCUGUGGCAGAGGGGGAGAGAAAGAGACUAACAGCAUAAUCCCCUUUUUUAGCCAAAUAUACCACACCCCAGUUGUGGAUAAAUCACAUCUGCAGCUGUUCACAGUGGGUCACUGCUGGAAAGUGUGUGUGUGUGUGUGUGUGUGUGUGUGUGUGUGUGUGUGUGUGUGUGUGUGUGUGUGUGUGCGUGUGUGUGUGUGUGUGUGAGAGANNNNNNNNNNNNNNNNNNNNNNNNNNNNNNNNNNNNNNNNNNNNNNNNNNNNNNNNNNNNNNNNNNNNNNNNNNUGUGUGUGUGUGUGUGUGUGUGUGUGUGUGUGUGUGUGUGUGUGUGUGUGUGUGUGUGUGUGUGUGUGUGUGUGAGUGAGUGAAAGGAAAGACAGAUGGAAGGGACGCAAUAAAGUAAAGAAGGAAUGCCUGUGUCCAGUGAUGACAGCAAACAGCUGAUGAAGGUCACAUAGUCGACAGCUCAAUGAACAUUCUCCACAGGCAUUUUUAUUUGACAUGAUUAAUGUUAAUCUUUUGCAACAUCUGGGUUCAGUGGCAGGAAGUCAUGCUGACUUACCACUGUUUCAAACGCCCAAGUGGCUUCAUUAUUCACCUUGUGGAUCUGUUCUGAGUUACUGUGUGUGUGUGUGUGUGUGUGUGUGUGUGUGUGUGUGUGUGUGUGUGUGUGUGUGUGUGUGUGUGUGUGUGUGUGUGCCCAACUGUGGAUUGGCUCAGCAGGUGAUCACAAGUUCACAGAUGUAGACUUUUGUCAGACCUGUAGGUGGCAGGAUGGCCCAGGUGUUUCCACUUUAAAGAGAAAUAUUCUUUUAAACUGAUUGACUCAAACCAAGAUGAAUGGGAAAUAAAUUCCAGGAUCCUAGUCUAACCAGAAGUAGGCUCUUUCGGUUUUGUCAUUAGUUCAUCUUGAACCCAAAAGUCACAAAACUGUGUUUCAUCAGGAGCUCAGACGGAUCAGGGCUUCACCCCAGCUGAACUGCUUGUGAGCACAAAGACAAAAUGCCUUCAGAGUAACAGACGUGAGUUGAAGUACUGGUCUGUUGAAGCGACCAGUACAUGAUUGCGUUGGUUUAUUUUUCAAAUAGCAAGGGGUACUAACCAUGAAGUAGUGUGCGGUUUGGAGAGUGCUGGACAAUUAUUAUUAAUAUGUAAAUGUUCAUCUGUCAUUACAGUGUAUUGGCAGGUGUUGAAAUGCAAAUUUUUAUUCAAUCAAUAAAAGUAGAAAGCCGUACGUGUUUUGUCUUGGUAGUUAGACAACCAUUAGGAUGUUUACUGGAAGGAUGAUUCCACAUCGCAGCACAAAGAAUAAUGUUGGCCAUACUUUUUGUGGCUGGUUCGUUUUUCAGGGGUUCUGGAGAGGAGGGUCCGUCGGAUUGUCGAACCUUGAAUUUAGGAGGAUCAAUGGUUUUUGUCCUGGCAACGUGGACCAUACUCUUAGGAGGGUCCUGAAGGGUGUAUGGAAGUUCGCCCAACCAGUCUACAGGUGCUGGCCAGUAAAUUAGAAUAUCAUCAAAAGGUUGAAAAUAUUUCAGUAAUUCCAUUCAAAACGUGAAACUUGUACAUUAUAUUCAUGCAAUGCACACAGACCAAUGUAUUUCCGAUGUUUAUUACGUUUAAUUUUGAUAUUUAUAGGUGACAACUAAUGAAAACUCCAAAUUUGGUAUCUCAAAAAAUUAGAAUAUUCUAAAGGCCAAUGAAAAAAUGUUUGUUUCUCUA
Long non-coding RNA from Nothobranchius furzeri (turquoise killifish), 2653 nucleotides. Lineage: Eukaryota; Metazoa; Chordata; Actinopteri; Cyprinodontiformes; Nothobranchiidae. The record is from Ensembl.